This 248-nucleotide long non-coding RNA is filed under the name Capsicum annuum. RNAcentral describes it as "long non-coding RNA (CANN_LNC012499)". Lineage: Eukaryota; Viridiplantae; Streptophyta; Magnoliopsida; Solanales; Solanaceae. The record is from RNAcentral.
CUUGAUUUCUUUGUUUAUUUUUAUUGUGACAACGGGUCCACCUAACAACUCAUUAGGACUGGUAAUGAGUCGUAUGCUGGACUCAUCACCACUGGGCUAAUAUUUAGGAUCCUUCACUCUAGUUGCAAUGACUCCACAUAAUAACUCGUUACGUCUAGUAACAGACUGUUGUUUGAGUCGUUGUCACUGGUAGUUUGACAGUCCCUUAGUCAACUUGUCAUAACUUUUUGCCACGAUAACGGACUAAU